GACGAACGUUGGCGGCGUGCUUAAUACAUGCAAGUCAACUGAAGCAGUGGUAGCAAUAUCGCUGUGGAGGUGGCGCACGGGUGAGUAACACGUAGGUAAUCUGCCUCCAGGUCUGGCAUAACUCCGGGAAACCGGGGCUAAUAGCAGAUGAUGCAGCGGCUCGACAUCGAGACAGUUGUUAAAGCUAUGGCGCCUGAAGAUGAGCCUGCGUCUGAUUAGCUAGUUGGCGGGGUAACGGCCCACCAAGGCAACGAUCAGUAGCUGGUCUGAGAGGAUGAUCAGCCACACUGGAACUGAGACACGGUCCAGACUCCUACGGGAGGCAGCAGUAAGGAAUAUUGCUCAAUGGGAGAAAUCCUGAAGCAGCAACGCCGCGUGAGGGACGAAGGGCUUUUGCUUGUAAACCUCUGUAGUGAGAGAAAAAAAUCCCAAUCUUUGGGACAUGAUGGUAGCUCAAAAGUAAGCCCCGGCUAACUACGUG
Molecule: ribosomal RNA, 481 nt
Filed under: uncultured bacterium
Lineage: Bacteria
Description: partial 16S ribosomal RNA
Rfam family: Bacterial small subunit ribosomal RNA
Source: RNAcentral